Long non-coding RNA from Heteronotia binoei (common prickly gecko), 488 nucleotides. RefSeq lists it as uncharacterized. The transcript has 2 exons. NCBI's taxonomy places the organism in Eukaryota, Metazoa, Chordata, Lepidosauria, Squamata, Gekkonidae. The record is from RefSeq and is a predicted model, not a curated record.
ACAAAGGGGGAACUCAAAAAUCAUAAAAAUAAAACCCAGAGUUUAGAAAGUCAGUUGGUCAUCCCCAGAGAAGUCUGGAAUUCUGGAAGCAAAGUCGAGUGCACACUUUCUCAUUUCUGCUCACUUUUCCCAAAGAAGAAGGCAAUCAUCCAAAACAAUAAAGAUUCAAACAAAAUUAAAGCUCCAUCUCUCUCCUGGGUUGCCCUGUCACCAACACAACUGAUGCAACCGACUUCCCAAGCUGUAGCCUGGGUGGAAUGCAAAGCCUCCGGAUUCUUCCCAGAGGAAAUAUUGUUCAGGUGGAAGAAGAAUGACAGCUAUGUCAAUGCCUCUGAGUACAUCACAGGGGUUCCAGCAGCUAAAGAUGGAAGCCCCACCUUUACUACACAAAGCAUCUUGAAAAUCCCAUCCUCUGAAUGGGAAAGCAGAAUCCAGUAUACAUGUGUGGUGGGUCACGAAUCCUCCCCUAACAUGUACAAUCUCAGUAA